GUGUGUGUGUGCGUGUGUGUGUGUGCGUGUGUGUGUGUGUGUGAGCUUUGAUGGAAGGGCCAAGCGGUUGUCUUGGAUGUGAAUGUCAGUGGCAGCUUGUCUGCUCUCCUCCCUUCACCUUGUCACCACUCAUCGUCUAUCAUCCCUCCCUCGUUCUCUCUCUCUCCAUUUUUCACUCUCAGUCCUUUUAUCUCCUCUCUCUCUCUUUCUCUCUCUCUCUCUCUCCAUCUCUUUGUCUUUCAAAUCCUUUCUCCCUCUACAUAUUUUUCUUUGGUUGUUCCUGAGUGGUGGUCUGCCCUCUAUUUCAUCUCUCUCCACAAGAGCUCCCAGCAUCGUGUCAGAUGAUGUCACGUUAUAUUGUGGACAAGUUUUAACAGGAGACGGACGGACGGAGCCCUCGACAUCGACGCCGCCGGGAGUUCUCGUCGAAAUAAACCUGUGAGUAGAAGUUGGUUCAAAGAUGGCGCCCACCGCAUUUCUACCCGUGCACGAUCCGACCAGACGCCGACGGAUUGUUCCGGAAAACCUGUGGACUCCGCCCCUGCAAAUGAAUCCUGUGACUUUUCCUGAUAUGAACCGACGUCGGCGUGGGAUUUCCCAGUUUGAAGAGACGGAGCCGCAACAGUCGGGAGGACCAACAGAUCACAACCAUCAGUUAGAACGACAGGGCUCUUUUUGAUUGACGGAUAUUAAUAAACUGCUAUGGAAAUAAACAUUACGUGGAAGAAACCAUGUCGACUGUUGAGAGUACAGUCCAUUCACUGCACCAUUCUGGAGUCUAUCUGUUCACACAGAACAGUCUGGAGCUCAUACUGGAAAAUGAAUAGUACUUUCCAGAACAGGACACAGAACUCCAGUCCCAGCCGACACACACACACACACACACACACACUCACACUCACACACACACACACUCACACACACACACACUCUCUGUGGCGACCUCGUAUUGAACCUGCAGACUUCUCCACACCUUCCCAUCACGUCCGUCAAUGAAUCCCCCCCCUCGAUUGGUAACAUUAUCAGAUUUGCUGAUCGAUACCCGCCACUGUUGUAUCAAAUCAUAGCUCUUUGUUAUCAAUAUCCCAGGAGUGUGCGUGUUCAAUCAGGGAGAAGGGGCCCGGUCGAUAGCCGGCAGCUGUUGCCGCCGAUCCUGAAGCCCCGUCGAUGCCAAGCGGCGCCCCUGACAAAUGAUAACGCGCCCGGAUCGAUGCGCUCGCCUCACCCGAUGGUUACCCCCCGGAUGGGCAAGAUGGAGACGCACGCUGCGAUACAGCAAUGACACUGGAGGUUUGCAGUCCAACCGGUGGUGUUAUUCAUUUGCUGGAAAUAAAAGAAGCCAAUGAAUGAAACUUGGCUUUUAUUUAAAGAACCUGUGUGAGGCAUUGAAGUCCAGGCUCGACACAAGCAG
Molecule: long non-coding RNA, 1411 nt
Organism: Scophthalmus maximus (turbot)
Lineage: Eukaryota; Metazoa; Chordata; Actinopteri; Pleuronectiformes; Scophthalmidae
Exons: 3
Source: RefSeq, a predicted model, not a curated record